RNAcentral lists this ribosomal RNA (802 nucleotides) under Bacillus velezensis. RNAcentral's name for it is "bacterial SSU rRNA". It matches the Rfam family "Bacterial small subunit ribosomal RNA", at positions 379 to 1174 of the family's 1533-position model. Lineage: Bacteria; Bacillati; Bacillota; Bacilli; Caryophanales; Bacillaceae. RNAcentral also lists the same sequence under 1 other name. The record is from RNAcentral.
AAGUCUGACGGAGCACGCCGCGUGAGUGAUGAAGGUUUUCGGAUCGUAAAGCUCUGUUGUUAGGGAAGAACAAGUGCCGUUCAAAUAGGGCGGCACCUUGACGGUACCUAACCAGAAAGCCACGGCUAACUACGUGCCAGCAGCCGCGGUAAUACGUAGGUGGCAAGCGUUGUCCGGAAUUAUUGGGCGUAAAGGGCUCGCAGGCGGUUUCUUAAGUCUGAUGUGAAAGCCCCCGGCUCAACCGGGGAGGGUCAUUGGAAACUGGGGAACUUGAGUGCAGAAGAGGAGAGUGGAAUUCCACGUGUAGCGGUGAAAUGCGUAGAGAUGUGGAGGAACACCAGUGGCGAAGGCGACUCUCUGGUCUGUAACUGACGCUGAGGAGCGAAAGCGUGGGGAGCGAACAGGAUUAGAUACCCUGGUAGUCCACGCCGUAAACGAUGAGUGCUAAGUGUUAGGGGGUUUCCGCCCCUUAGUGCUGCAGCUAACGCAUUAAGCACUCCGCCUGGGGAGUACGGUCGCAAGACUGAAACUCAAAGGAAUUGACGGGGGCCCGCACAAGCGGUGGAGCAUGUGGUUUAAUUCGAAGCAACGCGAAGAACCUUACCAGGUCUUGACAUCCUCUGACAAUCCUAGAGAUAGGACGUCCCCUUCGGGGGCAGAGUGACAGGUGGUGCAUGGUUGUCGUCAGCUCGUGUCGUGAGAUGUUGGGUUAAGUCCCGCAACGAGCGCAACCCUUGAUCUUAGUUGCCAGCAUUCAGUUGGGCACUCUAAGGUGACUGCCGGUGACAAACCGGAGGAAGGU